This 51-nucleotide transfer RNA is filed under the name Rana sp. z TL-2022. Its description in RNAcentral is "partial tRNA-Asn". Lineage: Eukaryota; Metazoa; Chordata; Amphibia; Anura; Ranidae. The record is from RNAcentral.
AGUGGUUAGCUGUUAACUAAAAUAUUACGGGAUCGAGGCCCGUCAUUCUAG